RNAcentral lists this long non-coding RNA (461 nucleotides) under Homo sapiens (human). RNAcentral describes it as "non-protein coding lnc-PBDC1-4:1". Lineage: Eukaryota; Metazoa; Chordata; Mammalia; Primates; Hominidae. The record is from RNAcentral.
ACUUUGAAAGUGCCAGAGUAGAGUGUGCAACCCAAGCAUGUCCAGAAUUGCUGUGAAGAGAUUUUGAAUCAUUAUUUCCAGAAGUGGCUAAUAGCAAACUAAUGAUUCUGACUAUAACACCACAAAACCAAGAAUGAUAUGAUAGUUUGACAUGAAGAAGUAGAAAUUGAAAGAGAAACGCUCUUGGAAAAGUUUAUCAAUAGUGCUAAAGAAAUUUGCUAUGCACUUCAAGCUGAGGAUAGUGGGCUGAAUUAAUUGGUUUGGCAUUUUUUGGACCAUGUAUAAACAACCCUCUUUUUAAAACAGAUGAAAGCUACUAACAUUUAGGAUUAUCUGUUGAUGAUCUUGGAUAAUGUGAAGCGAUUUAUCAUAGUCUCUGGGGCACCGAUGUAUUUGUCGGAAGUAUGUUCACUAAUGCAACACCAGACAGCCAUAUUAUAGAGAAAUUAAGGGGAAAUUAG